This 253-nucleotide ribosomal RNA is filed under the name uncultured bacterium. Its description in RNAcentral is "partial 16S ribosomal RNA". It matches the Rfam family "Bacterial small subunit ribosomal RNA", at positions 524 to 776 of the family's 1533-position model. The record is from RNAcentral.
UACGUAGGGGGCAAGCGUUGUCCGGAUUCAUUGGGCGUAAAGAGCGUGUAGGCGGCCAGGUAGGUCGGUUGUGAAAACUGGAGGCUCAACCUUCAGAGGUCGGCCGAAACCAUCUGGCUAGAGUCCGGGAGAGGAGAGUGGAAUUCCUGGUGUAGCGGUGAAAUGCGCAGAUAUCAGGAAGAACACCCGUGGCGAAAGCGGCUCUCUGGAACGGUACUGACGCUGAGACGCGAGAGCGUGGGGAGCGAACAGG